Molecule: long non-coding RNA, 2403 nt
Organism: Terrapene triunguis (Three-toed box turtle)
Lineage: Eukaryota; Metazoa; Chordata; Testudines; Emydidae
Exons: 2
Source: RefSeq, a predicted model, not a curated record
GCGCUGUACAGUGCCUGUGUAGCCAAGGCCUUAGAAAAUGUUUCCUUUGUUAUAGAACAGAUCAGACCUUUAGGUGCUACCAUAAUUACUGUGAAAUCUGUUUUAAAUAUCUAAUUUAAUAUCACCAUGCUAUCAAUUUUCAAUCAAAAUAGGUUAAAUAGUCCUAAGAAGUAAGACAUAAAUGCACAAAAAUCUCACUUUUGAAGUAGGUACUGUGAGUCCCUAUAAAUUAGUAUAUUUACUACCUGAACUGUAAAAAGGACCUAUAGAAUGCUUGUGGCUUUGUACAAAUAGUAUCCCACAUAGUCUUCUAGGUCUCUUAGUAAUUUAUAUAAUCCCCCAUCUCCAUAGCAUUUGAAUACUUCUGUUCUUAAAUGACUCAGGGAUGGGGAUAAGAGAUGUGAUUUAAGUUUUGAAAACUUUAGAAAGUGUCCCCAUUGCCGGCAGUUCAGGAAAGAAGAACUAAAGGUCCACUUCGCAAACCAUUUAUUUGUCCAACAUAUACAAAUAUAAGUUUACUUUUCAAGUCAGAGAAAAAGUAGUCCAGGUGGAAAGUCAGUUUUAAAAUACAUAGUUUUUAAAUUAUGUAAAAUUUAUAAAAACUGGCACAUACCGAUAGAACAUUGACAAAACAUUUUGACACACUUUAAAGCAGCAGAAUGAAGACAAUUGCACAACUAAUACAUCAGUUUGAAAUAGCCAAUAUAUGUGUGAAAGAGAAAUAUUUACUGCUAUUGUAUUUUUUGUUUGUGUUUGUUACUUCUGUCAACUGUGUAGCACUGCAGCAGUUAUGAAAUGUUGAUCACAAAUAGAAAACACUCCACCAUCGUUACAUCUAAUAGGCUAGCAACAACAAAGUGAUUAAUAAUCAUCUGCUGAAAUUAAAUUGCAUUCUGAGAGCUAGAAGCUGAAGACUCAUUUUUGAAGUAAAAAGCCACUGACAGGUUCUCUUUUAUAAAGUCAAACUGAGUUUAAAGAGAAUGUGAUCUUAAUGUUGAGAUACUUCUCUGUUAAAAUCUUAUUCUUGGUAACUUGAUAGUGGACUCUAGAGGCUAAUUGUUAUUUUCAGGAGAUGGUUAUUGAGACAUUCCACCAAGUAAUAUUAGUAAUAAUAAAACUAAAAACAAAUGUGAUGUAUGUUUUUAAAAUGUGACACAGUACUUUUAUAUCUUUUAAGGUUUUGUUUUUUUUAAUCUUCUUAAAACUUGACAGAACACCAGCCAGUACAACAAUCCAGUUCCUGAAAACUGAGUAGUGUUGCAACACAGCCAAGACCUAUGGCUUCCAAAGUCAAUCCCAUACAAGCAUUGAUACCAGCAUUCACUAUACAUAGAAACAAAUACAGACAUAGGUCCACAUAUCCAUAUGAUGGCAUUCAGCCUGAACUGCCAGGGAGGCAGAACCACAGCUGUCCAUCUAUCAAACCCAUUAAUAUAUAUCUGUGGACUUGUAUUCUUGAAGAAAGGAAACCUAUGGAUAAACAGCACAAAUUUUCUUAUUAACCAAACAUCUUGAUGUUACAUCUGUUUAUGGUGUUUUAAAUAAGUUAAAGCUGUUUAACAUAAGAGUAAUAGCUCUGUAUAAUUUCAUUUUGGGGGAUUUUUAGGCUAAUGAAAAGGAAAGCUUAUGCGCUUCCUCUACUUUUGUCUGUGACCAAAACAACAUGAAUGCAAUUAACAACAUGUUACUUUUUGCAUUAGUUGAUUAAUCUUCCCUAUUUUUUAAAACUUAAAUAAAUCGAUGUACAUUAAUGAAAAAAAAGCACCCUAAUUCAAUAUAAUCAGUUUUGGAAAAUUCUACCAUGCCCACCUCUGUAAAAUGUUUUUUUUUUUAACUGAACAUGCAAAAUGCUAGGUUUUCUCAUUACCACUAUGCUUUUAAGUAGAUAUUGUCCUGCAGCUGGUAAGUAUUCAUGACAAUGGGGCAAGGCUAAAAUAACUAUCAAAGAGAAAAUGUCCUUAUGGAUAAACUACAUCCUGCAGUUACACAGAGAGUGUAUGCUAGUCACGAAUAGUGCAAAUCUGUUGCUUUUUAAAUGGCUGCCAGAUUUUACCUGCUUUACAUGUUAUAAUUGAGGAUGCCCUUAUCUAAAGUUUCUUUCAAGUCUAGUAGCAAUGAGAAAUUACAAUGUUUGUGGUAUUCCUACACAAGAGUUCUCCUUCUGCUGGAUCUGUAGUAGAUUUACAAAAGCUUCUCCCACAUCUGCUAAUACUGGUGCCCAAAUUUGGCAGGAACCAACCAUCUUACUUUCAGUGCUACUGGAAAUAGGGAGAAUCCAUUUAUCAAAUGAAAGGUAAAUUUUUUAUAAAAAAAUAUUUUCAUGCAUCGCAGGGGAUAUAUAUAAAAAGAACUAAAACACAAAAGGGAUCAGAUCUUCAUCUAAGCUUUAGCCAAAGGACAUAU